Molecule: ribosomal RNA, 253 nt
Filed under: uncultured bacterium
Lineage: Bacteria
Description: partial 16S ribosomal RNA
Rfam family: Bacterial small subunit ribosomal RNA
Source: RNAcentral
UACGAAGGGUGCAAGCGUUACUCGGAAUUACUGGGCGUAAAGCGUGCGUAGGUGGUGAGUUAAGUCUGUCGUGAAAGCCCCGGGCUCAACCUGGGAAUGGCGAUGGAUACUGGCUCGCUAGAGUGCGGUAGAGGAGAGUGGAAUUCCCGGUGUAGCAGUGAAAUGCGUAGAUAUCGGGAGGAACAUCAGUGGCGAAGGCGGCUACCUGGCCCAAUACUGACACUCAGGUGCGAAAGCGUGGGGAGCAAACAGG